Molecule: ribosomal RNA, 470 nt
Filed under: uncultured bacterium
Lineage: Bacteria
Description: bacterial SSU rRNA
Rfam family: Bacterial small subunit ribosomal RNA
Source: RNAcentral
GUAAUACCGUAUACGCCCUACGGGGGAAAGAUUUAUCGGAGAAGGAUUAGCCCGCGUUGGAUUAGGUAGUUGGUGGGGUAAUGGCCUACCAAGCCUACGAUCCAUAGCUGGUUUGAGAGGAUGAUCAGCCACACUGGGACUGAGACACGGCCCAGACUCCUACGGGAGGCAGCAGUGGGGAAUCUUAGACAAUGGGGGAAACCCUGAUCUAGCCAUGCCGCGUGAGUGAUGAAGGCCUUAGGGUUGUAAAGCUCUUUCAGCUGGGAAGAUAAUGACGGUACCAGCAGAAGAAGCCCCGGCUAACUCCGUGCCAGCAGCCGCGGUAAUACGGAGGGGGCUAGCGUUGUUCGGAAUUACUGGGCGUAAAGCGCACGUAGGCGGACUGGAAAGUUGGAGGUGAAAUCCCAGGGCUCAACCUUGGAACUGCCUUCAAAACUAUCAGUCUGGAGUUCGAGAGAGGUGAGUGGAAU